GGCGGCGUGCCUAAUACAUGCAAGUAGAACGCUGAAGGAGGAGCUUGCUUCUCUGGAUGAGUUGCGAACGGGUGAGUAACGCGUAGGUAACCUACCUGGUAGCGGGGGAUAACCUAUUGGAAACGAUAGCUAAUACCGCAUAAGAGUAGAUGUUGCAUGACAUUUGCUUAAAAGGUGCAAUUGCAUCACUACCAGAUGGACCUGCGUUGUAUUAGCUAGUUGGUGAGGUAACGGCUCACCAAGGCAACGAUACAUAGCCGACCUGAGAGGGUGAUCGGCCACACUGGGACUGAGACACGGCCCAGACUCCUACGGGAGGCAGCAGUAGGGAAUCUUCGGCAAUGGACGGAAGUCUGACCGAGCAA
This 365-nucleotide ribosomal RNA is filed under the name Streptococcus mitis. RNAcentral describes it as "bacterial SSU rRNA". It matches the Rfam family "Bacterial small subunit ribosomal RNA", at positions 38 to 394 of the family's 1533-position model. The record is from RNAcentral. Lineage: Bacteria; Bacillati; Bacillota; Bacilli; Lactobacillales; Streptococcaceae.